This 253-nucleotide ribosomal RNA is filed under the name uncultured bacterium. RNAcentral's name for it is "partial 16S ribosomal RNA". It matches the Rfam family "Bacterial small subunit ribosomal RNA", at positions 524 to 776 of the family's 1533-position model. The record is from RNAcentral.
GACGGGGGGUGCGAGCGUUGUCCGGAAUCACUGGGCGUAAAGGGCGCGUAGGUGGCGUCGUAAGUCUGUGGUGAAAGCCCGGAGCUCAACUCCGGGUCUGCCGCGGAUACUGCGAGGCUUGAGUGCUGUAGAGGGGGGUAGAAUGCCGGGUGUAGCGGUGGAAUGCGUAGAGAUCCGGCAGAAGACCGGUGGCGAAGGCGGCCCCCUGGGCAGUAACUGACACUGAGGCGCGACAGCGUGGGGAGCAAACAGG